GCCUCCGUGGCGCAGUUGGUAGCGCGAUGGCCCCGGCAAGGCCAAAGGUCGCAGGUUCGAGUCCUGCCGGAGGUG
This 75-nucleotide transfer RNA is filed under the name Leguminivora glycinivorella. Its description in RNAcentral is "tRNA-Ala". It matches the Rfam family "tRNA". From Rfam's summary of the family: Transfer RNA (tRNA) molecules are approximately 80 nucleotides in length. Their secondary structure includes four short double-helical elements and three loops (D, anti-codon, and T loops). The record is from RNAcentral. Lineage: Eukaryota; Metazoa; Arthropoda; Insecta; Lepidoptera; Tortricidae.